AAAGGAAACAAAGAGGGAGAUGGUCUUUUGUUGGAAGACACUUGGGGAGUUAUGAUCUCGUGGGUCCUUGUUCCUGAAUUUCAGGUAUCUCAGGUGCACAGAAGGAUGAGUAAAGGUGGGGAGAUCCACCAGCUGUCUCCCCCUUCUCAUCAGUUCCACCUGCAGUGUCUGCAUCUACCCUCUUCCUGUCCUGUGGAUUGUUCUUUCCUAAGCUCUUGGAGCAGGUGGCUAUUUAUUACAGAGCCCUGGGAGUUUUUGUAAGGCUGUUUCUGUUACUGCUUUCACUGUGGUAGGCUUCUGCAACAGCGCAGAAAUAUACAGCGGAGUCACUGAAUUUCAAGGCUGAGAUGGUGAGCUUGAGAACUGGUUUCUGAAACACCACAGAGUAUCGUCCUUCCCUUGAGCUCCUGUUUGCUGAAUAUAGUUGUAUUAAGCGAAUCAUCUUUCCACUGGGUGGCUGUUGAUACCAGUACAUCCAAUAAUAAUCAAAACUGACUGUGAUUUUGCAGUCUAUGGUCACAGAUUUUCCUUCUUGUGCAUUCACUAUAUCUGUAGGUUGAUGCUGAGCGUUGCUAGAACCUGUAGAAAAUAGAAAAUAACAAAAAGAGAAGACUUAUCCAUUGACAGUACUCACAAGAAGGCCAUUAGCAAUAGCCAGAUUUUGACCCAGGAAAUGAAGUGGAGAAAAGCACAAUCCAGUUCUGUUUCAACUUCUUUCUUCAGCUGCCCCCUGCCCCAGCCUCUAGGGUUAGCUUCAUUACCAGGGUAGAUGACAAUCACAAUGGCACACAGGAGAGCGGGCAGUCUAGGCUGCAUUUUUGAAGCUCUUCCCACUUGUGGAAUGGCUCUUGUUCUGCUGGUCCCCUGACUGGACACAGCAGUGUCUUUAGAGCUUUCUACCAUGUGACCCGAAAUGAGG
RNAcentral lists this long non-coding RNA (919 nucleotides) under Chinchilla lanigera (long-tailed chinchilla). Its description in RNAcentral is "lncRNA (ENSCLAG00000028844.1)". The record is from RNAcentral. Lineage: Eukaryota; Metazoa; Chordata; Mammalia; Rodentia; Chinchillidae.